This 119-nucleotide ribosomal RNA is filed under the name Anolis carolinensis (green anole). Lineage: Eukaryota; Metazoa; Chordata; Lepidosauria; Squamata; Anolidae. The record is from RNAcentral.
GCCAUUUUUCUAAAUACCUUGAAGGCACCAGAUUCCAUCUGAACUUGGAAGCUAAACAAGGUCAGUCUUGGUUAGUACUUGGGUAAGGGGCCAUCAAAGAAUACCAGCAGCUGUAGGCU